GGGUUUGUAGCUCAGUUGGUUAGAGCAUCAGAAUGACACUCAGAGGGUCAUAGGUUCAACUCCUAUCAAAUCCA
This 74-nucleotide transfer RNA is filed under the name bacterium 336/3. It matches the Rfam family "tRNA". From Rfam's summary of the family: Transfer RNA (tRNA) molecules are approximately 80 nucleotides in length. Their secondary structure includes four short double-helical elements and three loops (D, anti-codon, and T loops). Lineage: Bacteria; Pseudomonadati. The record is from Rfam by way of RNAcentral.